This 506-nucleotide ribosomal RNA is filed under the name uncultured bacterium. RNAcentral describes it as "partial 16S ribosomal RNA". It matches the Rfam family "Bacterial small subunit ribosomal RNA", at positions 29 to 523 of the family's 1533-position model. The record is from RNAcentral.
AGUGAACGCUGGCGGUAGGCCUAACACAUGCAAGUCGAACGGCAGCACAGGAGAGCUUGCUCUCUGGGUGGCGAGUGGCGGACGGGUGAGGAAUACAUCGGAAUCUACUCUGUCGUGGGGGAUAACGUAGGGAAACUUACGCUAAUACCGCAUACGACCUACGGGGGAAAGCAGGGGAUCUUCGGACCUUGCGCGAUUGAAUGAGCCGAUGUCGGAUUAGCUAGUCGGCGGGGUAAAGGCCCACCAAGGCGACGAUCCGUAGCUGGUCUGAGAGGAUGAUCAGCCACACUGGAACUGAGACACGGUCCAGACUCCUACGGGAGGCAGCAGUGGGGAAUAUUGGACAAUGGGCGCAAGCCUGAUCCAGCCAUACCGCGUGGGUGAAGAAGGCCUUCGGGUUGUAAAGCCCUUUUGUUGGGAAAGAAAUCCAGCUGGCUAAUACCCGGUUGGGAUGACGGUACCCAAAGAAUAAGCACCGGCUAACUUCGUGCCAGCAGCCGCGGUAA